AUUGAACGCUGGCGGCAGGCCUAACACAUGCAAGUCGAACGAGUGGCGGACGGGUGAGUAAUGGCUGGGAAACUGCCUGAUGGAGGGGGAUAACUACUGGAAACGGUAGCUAAUACCGCAUACCAUCGGAUGUGCCCAGAUGGGAUUAGCAAGUAUGUGUGGUAACGGCUCACCUAGGCGCCGAUCCCUAGCUGGUCUGUGAGGAUGACCAGCCACAUUGGAACUGAGACACGGUCCAGAUUCCUACGGUCGGCAGCAGUGGGGAAUAUUGCACAAUGGGCGAUAGCCUGAUGCAGCCAUGCCGCGUGUAUGAAGAAGGCCUUCGGGUUGUAAAGUACUUUCAGCGUGGAUGCGUUACCCGCAGAAGACGCACCGGCUAACUCCGUGCCAGCAGCCGCGGUAAUAC
RNAcentral lists this ribosomal RNA (406 nucleotides) under uncultured bacterium. Its description in RNAcentral is "partial 16S ribosomal RNA". It matches the Rfam family "Bacterial small subunit ribosomal RNA", at positions 30 to 526 of the family's 1533-position model. The record is from RNAcentral.